Molecule: ribosomal RNA, 1134 nt
Filed under: uncultured bacterium
Lineage: Bacteria
Description: bacterial SSU rRNA
Rfam family: Bacterial small subunit ribosomal RNA
Source: RNAcentral
GCUGUGAGAGCGACUCUCACUGCUGGCAGAUAAGAGGAGGUGUGAGAUACGUCCGGACUUAUCCUGCAUCCACCACCGAGUAUGACGAAAGAAGCUCUAGCGCUUGGAAUUCAGUUUGCCGUAGAGAAGCUACUGACGGCAUCUGAAAUCGAGGCCUGACUAACGUCGGUUCAGCUGCGCGGUACUUCGAUGGGACAAUCAUUGUUCCGCAAUACUGGGCGUAAACCUCCAGUAGUUGGAUAUUAUAGUCUGGGUGACAUCCCCACAGCUCGGCUCUGGAACUGCCUUUGAUACUGCGCAUGUCAGUAUGGAAGAGGUAAGUGGAAAUGCGAGUGUAGAGGUGAAAGUCGUAGAUAUUCGCAGGAACACCAGUGGCGACGGCGGCUUACUGGUCCAUAUCUGACGCUGAGCUGCGAAAGCGUGUGGAGCAAACAGGAUUAGAUACCCUGGUAGUACACGCCGUAAACGAUGAAUGUUAGCCGUCGCGCAGUUUACUGUUCGGUGGCGCAGCUAACGCAUUAAACAUUCCGCCUGGGGAGUACGGUCGCAAGAUUAAAACUCAAAGGAAUUGACGGGGGCCCGCACAAGCGGUGGAGCAUGUGGUUUAAUUCGAAGCAACGCGCAGAACCUUACCAGCCCUUGACAUGUCCGGCUAUCCAGAGAGAUUUGGAGUUCCCUUCGGGGACCGGAGCACAGGUGCUGCAUGGCUGUCGUCAGCUCGUGUCGUGAGAUGUUGGGUUAAGUCCCGCAACGAGCGCAACCCUCGCCCUUAGUUGCCAGCAUUCAGUUGGGCACUCUAGGGGGACUGCCGGUGAUAAGCCGAGAGGAAGGUGGGGAUGACGUCAAGUCCUCAUGGCCCUUACGGGCUGGGCUACACACGUGCUACAAUGGUGGUGACAGUGGGCAGCGAAGGAGCGAUCCUGAGCUAAUCUCCAAAAGCCAUCUCAGUUCGGAUUGCACUCUGCAACUCGAGUGCAUGAAGUUGGAAUCGCUAGUAAUCGCGGAUCAGCACGCCGCGGUGAAUACGUUCCCGGGCCUUGUACACACCGUCCGUCACACCAUGGGAGUUGGUUUUACCCGAAGGUAGUGCGCUAACCGCAAGGAGGCAGCUAACCACGGUAGUUCUCAACCGAC